UGAUGUAAUAUUUUAUUUAAUGUUUUUAGCAAAAUUAGGUUAUCAGCCGGGCCAACAUUUCGUGUCACCAAGCUGUCACUAUAAUUCCAGCUUGUUUAGAGUUUCUGUUCCCACUUCCUAACUAGUGCAGGUUAUAUGUCAGCAACCAGUAACGUACAUGGUAUUCAACAAAGGGCUCGAGAUGAUACUGAUCAGAGAAAUCGAAGUCCUAAAGAUCCCAUCGUCGAAGUGAUUACUCCUGAUGUAUACAAUAACUAUGGUGCAGAUGGUUCGAGGGAACCUUUUCCUGGGAUCUGGUCUCGGACAUUGAGAAUAAGAAUUACUGGACGAGAUGGAUUUGAGAAGCUCGAUGUUAGAAUACCUGUAAGUUACGUUACCAGUUCAGAUAUAUAAAAUACAUAUCUCUGAUGUCAUCCGUAUUUGUGUCUAUCCAAACUAACAUAGAAAGUGAAAAGAAAAAGAACUGAAGCACUGUUGUGGUUUCUUUAUCAAACUGCAGAUGAUGUCUUAAAUAUUUCUGUUAUGUUCAAUAAUAAAAAUAAAGCAGUAGUUGCGAAUAUUUUCAUUAGGAUCCUGACCCGUGGUAAUGACAUGAUAGCCUACUGAUGUCAAGAGAUGCAUGAACAGUUUAUGUGGGAGUUGGUUACUUCAGUGAUGCGAGAUUACCUACUCCUUAAAGAAUUGAUCAAGAUGGGAUUGGAGGAGAUUUCUGCAACCUUUCUUUUUGGAUUUUCAGUAUUUAGUCCUUUUACCAGAUCCAGAUCACAGUGUAUCAGUUUUUGUCUACUAUAGGAAUUUAUUUGAUGACCGAAAA
This is a non-coding RNA of Carica papaya (papaya), 814 nucleotides long. The record is from RefSeq and is a predicted model, not a curated record. Lineage: Eukaryota; Viridiplantae; Streptophyta; Magnoliopsida; Brassicales; Caricaceae.